This 460-nucleotide ribosomal RNA is filed under the name uncultured bacterium. RNAcentral describes it as "partial 16S ribosomal RNA". It matches the Rfam family "Bacterial small subunit ribosomal RNA", at positions 338 to 795 of the family's 1533-position model. The record is from RNAcentral.
CCUACGGGAGGCAGCAGUGAGGAAUAUUGGUCAAUGGCCGGAAGGCUGAACCAGCCAUGCCGCGUGAAGGUCAGUGCCCUAUGGGCGUUAAACUUCUUUUGUGCGGGAGCAAUAAUGGUCACGUGUGGCCAGACGAGAGUACCGUACGAAUAAGCAUCGGCUAACUCCGUGCCCGCAGCCGCGGUAAUACGGGGGAUGCAAGCGUUAUCCGGAUUUAUUGGGUUUAAAGGGUGCGUAGGCUGUGAGUUAAGUCCGCGGUGAAAUGCACCCGCUCAAAGGGGUGAAGUGCCAUUGAUACUGCCUUGCUGGAAUGUGGAUGCGGUGGGAGGAAUGUGUGGUGUAGCGGUGAAAUGCAUAGAUAUCACACAGAACACCGAUUGCGAAGGCAUCUCACGAAUCCGCGAUUGACGCUGAUGCACGAAAGCGUGGGUAUCAAACAGGAUUAGAUACCCGGGUAGUC